Molecule: ribosomal RNA, 429 nt
Filed under: Chloroflexota bacterium
Lineage: Bacteria; Bacillati; Chloroflexota
Description: Chloroflexi bacterium partial 16S ribosomal RNA
Rfam family: Bacterial small subunit ribosomal RNA
Source: RNAcentral
UGGGGAAUAUUGCACAAUGGGCGCAAGCCUGAUGCAGACAUGCCGCGUGUGUGAAGAAGGCCUUCGGGUUGUAAAGCACUUUCAGCGGGGAGGAAGGCGUUAAGGUUAAUAACCUUGGCGAUUGACGUUACCCGCAGAAGAAGCACCGGCUAACUCCGUGCCAGCAGCCGCGGUAAUACGGAGGGUGCAAGCGUUAAUCGGAAUUACUGGGCGUAAAGCGCACGCAGGCGGUCUGUCAAGUCGGAUGUGAAAUCCCCGGGCUUAACCUGGGAACUGCAUUCGAAACUGGCAGGCUAGAGUCUUGUAGAGGGGGGUAGAAUUCCAGGUGUAGCGGUGAAAUGCGUAGAGAUCUGGAGGAAUACCGGUGGCGAAGGCGGCCCCCUGGACAAAGACUGACGCUCAGGUGCGAAAGCGUGGGGAGCAAACAGG